CCGGUAAAUAGGGAGGCGUAGCGAAAGCGAGUCUGAUAAGGGCGCUUUAGUUGCAGGCGUAAGACCGAAACCAGAUGAUCUAUCCAUGGCCAGGAUGAAGGUGCCGUAACAGGUACUGGAGGUCCGAACCCACUAAUGUUGAAAAAUUAGGGGAUGAGCUGUGGAUAGGGGUGAAAGGCUAAACAAAUCUGGAAAUAGCUGGUUCUCCCCGAAAGCUAUUUAGGUAGCGCCUCAUGUAUCACUCGCGGGGGUAGAGCACUGUAAUGGUUGGAGGGGUCAUUGCGAUCUACUCCGCCAUAGCAAACUCCGAAUACCGCGAAGUGCGAGCAUGGGAGACAGACGGUGGGUGCUAACGUCCAUCGUCAAGAGGGAAACAACCCAGACCGCCAGCUAAGGUCCCCAAGCCAUGGUUAAGUGGAAAACGAAGUGGGAAGGCAUAGACAGUCAGGAAGUUGGCUUAGAAGCAGCCAUCCUUUAAAGAAAGCGUAAUAGCUCACUGAUCGAGUCGUCCUGCGCGGAAGAUGUAACGGGGC
Molecule: ribosomal RNA, 533 nt
Filed under: uncultured bacterium
Lineage: Bacteria
Description: bacterial LSU rRNA
Rfam family: Bacterial large subunit ribosomal RNA
Source: RNAcentral